GAUGAACGCUGGCGGCGUGCUUAACACAUGCAAGUCGAACGAAGCACUUAAUGAGAUUUCUUCGGAUUGAUUAUUUUGUGACUGAGUGGCGACGGGUGAGUAACGCGUGGGUAACCUGCCCCAGACCGGGGGAUAACAGUCGGAAACGACUGCUAAUACCGCAUAAGCGCACAGUGCCGCAUGGCACGGUGUGAAAAACUCCGGUGGUCUGGGAUGGACCCGCGUCCGAUUAGUUAGUUGGCGGGGUAACGGCCCACCAAGACCGCGAUCGGUAGCCGACCUGAGAGGGUGACCGGCCACAUUGGGACUGAGACACGGCCCAGACUCCUACGGGAGGCAGCAGUGGGGAAUAUUGCACAAUGGAGGAAACUCUGAUGCAGCGACGCCGCGUGAGCGAAGAAGUAUUUCGGUAUGUAAAGCUCUAUCAGCAGGAAAGAAAAUGACGGUACCUGACUAAGAAGCCCCGGCUAACUACGUG
This 478-nucleotide ribosomal RNA is filed under the name uncultured bacterium. RNAcentral describes it as "bacterial SSU rRNA". It matches the Rfam family "Bacterial small subunit ribosomal RNA", at positions 28 to 507 of the family's 1533-position model. The record is from RNAcentral.